AAAAAUACUCUAGGGAUAACAGCGUAAUAAUUUUUGGAGAUCUUAUAGACAAAUAGUUUGCGACCUCGAUGUUGGAUUAGGAUACUUUUUUAAUGAAGAUGUUAAAAAAAGAAGUUUGUUCAACUUUUAAAUUCCUACUUGAUCUGAGUUCAGACC
RNAcentral lists this ribosomal RNA (156 nucleotides) under Dermacentor silvarum. RNAcentral describes it as "partial 16S ribosomal RNA". It matches the Rfam family "Bacterial large subunit ribosomal RNA", at positions 2459 to 2617 of the family's 2925-position model. Lineage: Eukaryota; Metazoa; Arthropoda; Arachnida; Ixodida; Ixodidae. The record is from RNAcentral.